ACUCAAAGGAAUUGACGGGGGCCCGCACAAGCAGCGGAGCGUGUGGUUUAAUUCGAGGCUACACGAAGAACCUUACCUGGGUUUGACAUGCCGGUAGUACCGUGCUGAAAGGCACGGGACCUUCGGGAGCCGGCACUGGUGCUGCAUGGCUGUCGUCAGCUCGUGCCGUGAGGUGUUAGGUUAAGUCCUGUAACGAGCGCAACCCCCGGGGCCAGUUAAACGGUCUGGUCCGACUGCCCGCGACAAGCGGGAGGAAGGCGGGGAUGACGUCAAGUCAGCAUGGCCUGUAUAUCCAGGGCUACACACACGCUACAAUGGUCGGUACAAUCGGUCGCCAAGCCGUAAGGCGGAGCCAAUCCAAUCAAAGCCGGCCUCAGUUCAGAUUGUGGGCUGCAACCCGCCCACAUGAAGUUGGAGUUGCUAGUAACCGCGCGUCAGCCAUAGUGCGGUGAAUACGUUCCCGGGCCUUGUACACACCGCCCGU
Molecule: ribosomal RNA, 484 nt
Filed under: uncultured bacterium
Lineage: Bacteria
Description: partial 16S ribosomal RNA
Rfam family: Bacterial small subunit ribosomal RNA
Source: RNAcentral